ACUCGAUGAACCGCUAGCAUGAAAACUAGGCGAAAGGUCGUAGCCCUGAACGAGGAUAAUAGUGAAUAACGUCGAAGUGUGUCUGGCCAACUUCAACAGGAAAGAGCUGCCCACAUACGGUCUUAAGAACAUCACUGCUUUUGUCAGACAAAGCAGCUUUCCACAAUAAAAACAUGGUGAUUUGGAUUCUUUAGUAGCCUAGGCCUACUAUCAAUAAUGGGCAACAUGAGCGAGGCCAGGAAAGAGGAGACAUGCUGGUGGUAUCAGUGGGACAGACCGUGGACAGGCAAAGGAACUAGAGGAAAGGUUAUGUUGUUCACUUCCUCCUCUUCAAUCCCCCCUCUUUGGCACAGACAGCUCCUCUUGUCAGGAACUCCAGGAAGGGUCAGGGAAUUUGGGCAUUCAGCAGAGCAACUGGAGGCAGGAUACUCACAAAGAAGAGAAAGGGAAACUAGGAAGUGUGCUCAUGCAAAGUGAAUGCUGCUGAUUGAUGGCACACAUUAAUCCUACAUCGGUUAAAUGGCAUUUAAUUCUCCUCGGUAAAACAGCAUUUAACCUUGUACUUAACCACAUUUCUCCACAUUUGGAGAGUAACUUUAUAUAGCAAUUAUAAAUAAUGUGGGUAUGCAGGAUAAAGACUCUUAGAGUCUCAUACUUGAAGCUUGAAGCCAACUAAAGAUACUUUGAGGCCAUGUCAUUAGGUCGUACUGUAAUGUACUUCUGAAGUAAAUAAAAUUCUCAAUCUGGCAAAGAGCACAUAGACCAUAGGCUGUCUAAGGGGAAUCAGAAUAAUGUCUUAUUUUACACAGUCUAGACAAUAGACAAAAUGGGAACUGAUGUUUACCAUGCAAAUUACUGUCAUGUUCCAAUAAACUGUAGGACUGGAUGUGUCACUACAGCUGAUAAAAAUGUUUGAUGGCCCAAGGAUAUAGAGAGACAGACAUUCAUAAUAGAUUGCAGUGUGUAACUGAACUUACUGCUUCCUGGGGAAGUUUAAGCUGUUAUUUUGGAAAGAGACUAAAGCUACCAACAAAGAAAAUAAUCUCAAUUGAAAGUGUAUUA
Long non-coding RNA from Alosa sapidissima (American shad), 1062 nucleotides. RefSeq lists it as uncharacterized. The transcript has 3 exons. The record is from RefSeq and is a predicted model, not a curated record. NCBI's taxonomy places the organism in Eukaryota, Metazoa, Chordata, Actinopteri, Clupeiformes, Clupeidae.